Molecule: transfer RNA, 71 nt
Filed under: Anaerobacterium chartisolvens
Lineage: Bacteria; Bacillati; Bacillota; Clostridia; Eubacteriales; Oscillospiraceae
Rfam family: tRNA
About the family: Transfer RNA (tRNA) molecules are approximately 80 nucleotides in length.
Source: Rfam by way of RNAcentral
UGCGGGUUUGUGUAAUGGUAGCACUACUGACUCUGGCUCAGUCUGUUAGGGUUCGAAUCCUUAACCCGCAG